GGUCCGACCAAAUAUACAGCUUUUUUACUUAUUCUCCUUCCCCUCCUCUAAACCCCCUUCCACUGCCUCUUAAAUUUUUAUUUUAUUUAUUAGCGUUUUUUAUCUCCAGUAGAUUAGUGUAAUUAGUUCGAUGUGCAAACCUACGUACGUGAGAUCGUUUGCAAUAGUUUUCUCAUCUUUCCACACACACACACACCCAAACACACAUACAUUGCACUAGACACACAUACGCCGACGCAUACAGGCGCAAUUCAAAGUUAUUCAGCAGCUACAGAUGAUAUGUGAACAUUUUGUUGUUAAUAAUUCAAUUGUUAUUUGUUUUUCUUUCGACUUAAUACGAAAUGUUUUGGUGUUGUUGUUGCUGGUGUUUUAAUUUUCGUGACAUUUUAUUCGAGUUACAGCAACAUUUUUGUUUUGCCACAGUCCUAGAAUGAGAGUGGAUCUCCCCUCUCCCUCUCCCAUAUAACGGCGGUGGCGGCGAUGAUGAUCACCAUCAGCAUCACUGUUGCUGUUCAUGUUGUUGUUGCUGUUGUCGCUGUAUUAUGAAAAUUAAUUGUCGCCGCUGAACCUACCAACCCAGCGCAACCGUCGAACAUUCGUUUCAGUUUCAUCGCAGAAGUUUUAGAUUGAAGACGAACUCGAACGGAAAUUAAUAUUUAAGCAAAACUAAACUAAAAUUGAUUAACAACAAUUAGAAUAAAUAACAAUAACAACAACAACUACAACUACACAAAAAAGACAUACUUCAGUCACUUCAGCAUCACAAAAUGCCUCGGAUCAUGCCAAAAUUGAACGUGUGACGUCGUUUUGUCAAUUUUUCCCUCUUUUUUUGUUGUCGUUCCGCUUCUUUUCGAUUACGUCGCAUUUAAUUUUCACCAUUUCACAUUUUCGCCAACAUUUCAUAUCAUUUCGCCUCUUUUAGUCAUUUUUAAGAGAUAAAAGCAAAAAAAAAAAAAAAAAACAGAAGAAAA
This is a long non-coding RNA of Musca domestica (house fly), 971 nucleotides long. RefSeq lists it as uncharacterized. NCBI's taxonomy places the organism in Eukaryota, Metazoa, Arthropoda, Insecta, Diptera, Muscidae. The transcript is spliced from 2 exons. The record is from RefSeq and is a predicted model, not a curated record.